GACGAACGCUGGCGGCGUGCUUAACACAUGCAAGUCGAACGGAACGGCCCUGCUUUUGGGGGGUCCUGGGCGUGCCACCGGGUAAGUAACCCGUGAGUACCCUGUCAUUGCCUUUGGGGUAACUUCAGGACACUGGAGCUAAUACCACCUAGGAUCUCUUGCUUCAUGGUGGGCGUGGGAAAGUUUCGGCGGUUGGGGAUGGAAUAGCGGCUUAUCAGGUUGUUGGUGGGGUAGUGGCUUACCAAGGCUUUGCAGGGUAGCAGGCCUGAGAGGGCGAGAGGCCACAUUGGGACUGAGAUGCGGCCCAGACUCCUACGGGAGGCAGCAGUGGGGAAGAGUGUACAAGGGGAGGAAGCCAGAUGUAGCAACGCCGCGUGCGGGAUGACGUGCAGCGGGUUGGAAAGCGAUGCUGUCUGUGACGAAGUGUGAGUGACGGUAAUGGGUAAAUAAGCACCGGCUAACUACGUG
This 468-nucleotide ribosomal RNA is filed under the name uncultured bacterium. RNAcentral describes it as "partial 16S ribosomal RNA". It matches the Rfam family "Bacterial small subunit ribosomal RNA", at positions 28 to 507 of the family's 1533-position model. The record is from RNAcentral.